GACGAACGCUGGCGGCGUGCUUAACACAUGCAAGUCGAACGGAAAGGCCCUGCUUUUGUGGGGUGCUCGAGUGGCGAACGGGUGAGUAACACGUGAGUAACCUGCCCUUGACUUUGGGAUAACUUCAGGAAACUGGGGCUAAUACCGGAUAGGAGCUCCUGCAGCAUGGGGGGGGUGGGAAAGUUUCGGCGGUUGGGGAUGGACUCGCGGCUUAUCAGCUUGUUGGUGGGGUAGUGGCUUACCAAGGCUUUGACGGGUAGCCGGCCUGAGAGGGUGACCGGCCACAUUGGGACUGAGGUACGGCCCAGACUCCUACGGGAGGCAGCAGUGGGGAAUAUUGCACAAUGGGCGGAAGCCUGAUGCAGCAACGCCGCGUGCGGGAUGACGGCCUUCGGGUUGUAAACCGCUUUCGCCUGUGACGAAGCGUGAGUGACGGUAAUGGGUAAAGAAGCACCGGCUAACUACGUG
Molecule: ribosomal RNA, 468 nt
Filed under: uncultured bacterium
Lineage: Bacteria
Description: partial 16S ribosomal RNA
Rfam family: Bacterial small subunit ribosomal RNA
Source: RNAcentral